Molecule: ribosomal RNA, 372 nt
Filed under: uncultured organism
Description: bacterial SSU rRNA
Rfam family: Bacterial small subunit ribosomal RNA
Source: RNAcentral
CGAAGGUGGCAAGCGUUACUCGGAAUUACUAGGCGUAAAGGGCAGGUAGGUGGUUUGGUAAGUCUGUUGUGAAAGCUCCUGGCUUAACUGGGAGAGGUCAACGGAUACUGCCGGACUUGAGUAUGGGAGAGGUUACUGGAAUUCCCGGUGUAGCGGUGAAAUGCGCAGAGAUCGGGAGGAACACCAAUGGCGAAAGCAGGUAACUGGACCAUUACUGACACUCAGCUGCGAAAGCUAGGGGAGCAAACAGGAUUAGAUACCCUGGUAGUCCUAGCCGUAAACGAUGCACAUUAGACGUGAGGGGUAUCGACCCCCUUCGUGUCGACGCUAACGCAUUAAAUGUGCCGCCUGGGGAGUACGGCCGCAAGGUUG